Oreochromis aureus is the source of this 616-nucleotide long non-coding RNA. The record is from Ensembl. Lineage: Eukaryota; Metazoa; Chordata; Actinopteri; Cichliformes; Cichlidae.
CUCUCUCUCUCUCUCUCUCUCUCUUUUGCUCUCCUGUUGCUGACUCUGCAUCCGGGUUUCUGCUCACCUGACUCUCAUACCUGUCGCAGGAGUCUUGUUUAUGCCCCAUCGCCUCGGCCUGAUCAGGUUGUUCCUUAUUUGUUUUUAUGUCGGAUUCUUACUUUCCUGGAGGCUGUCCCUCUGAGGUUUGUUGGCUGUAGCUGGGGAAGUCUGGCACUGGCUGCUUCUUCCUACGACCAAGCGACGCUGCUUCAUCAAUGUGAAACUUUAACUUGGAUUUAUUUCUGUUAUCAUCGCUCCCAGGUAGGUUAAAUGCGCUGUGUGCCGGGUGGUAGCCGCUUCGUACCUUAAACGUGUGUUUACUCAUUUGGAAGAGGCUGUUGUCAUGCUACUUCUCUCUGCGCCAUCCACACAGAGAGGGAUUCAGACGCCUUUUCUUUCUGAGCGAUCCUUUUCCCACUGAGAAGCUGGAGCGUCAACGUCACAUAGCGUUGCUUUAGCAACUUCCAGCUGCUCUCUGUGCGACGUUCACGAGCCACACGCUGAUGUUCCUUGUGGGCUAUGUCGGCGUUCCUGGUGCCUUUAGGUACAAAUUCAGCAAACCAUUCUCCCGAGG